ACGGCUUCAGAAGACUUAGGAUAUUGCAUACCAAUCAUAUGGACAUUUUUUAUGGAUUAAUUUUACAGAUGCAUAUGGAUUUAUGCUAAAACUUUUCUAAGGAGGCUGUUGGCGCAAGUGAUUCCCACUUUCGGAUCUGCGGUCUCAUCCAAUCGAGUGAGAGAUCCUCCAUGAAAAGGGCAGGCUGCCAAGCCACGGCGACUGUGACAGAGCAAUGCAUUAGGACAUUAAGACACCCACUCCCUUGCUGAAAAUCAAUCACACACUUCUGCAUGCAUUAUGGGCAGAGAAGGGCACCCGGCAGAUUGCUUGCUACCUCUACGGCUGCAGUCGGGCCAGCCAUACCUCCAUGUCCUUUCUGUUCUUAUCAUGCCCUUGUUGAAGAGGAGGGUUGGGACCUGAAGACGCCAAAACGUCUGUUUCUCAGGAUGACCAGCGGCGAGAGAAGAUGAGGGAAGAUGAUUGUAUGAAUGUACCAGCAAGUGCAAAAUGUGAAGAAAGUGGAUAAAAUAGACGCUGCAAAAGUAAAAUGACGAUAUGUAGCAACACCUGAUCUUGAGGCUGCUUAUUUACAUGUAGAUUGGAUCUG
Long non-coding RNA from Sinocyclocheilus rhinocerous, 589 nucleotides. RefSeq lists it as uncharacterized. NCBI's taxonomy places the organism in Eukaryota, Metazoa, Chordata, Actinopteri, Cypriniformes, Cyprinidae. The transcript is spliced from 3 exons. The record is from RefSeq and is a predicted model, not a curated record.